AUUGAACGCUGGCGGCAGGCCUAACACAUGCAAGUCGAACGGUAACAGGAAACAGCUUGCUGUUUCGCUGACGAGUGGCGGACGGGUGAGUAAUGUCUGGGAAACUGCCUGAUGGAGGGGGAUAACUACUGGAAACGGUAGCUAAUACCGCAUAACGUCGCAAGACCAAAGAGGGGGACCUUCGGGCCUCUUGCCAUCGGAUGUGCCCAGAUGGGAUUAGCUAGUAGGUGGGGUAACGGCUCACCUAGGCGACGAUCCCUAGCUGGUCUGAGAGGAUGACCAGCCAAACUGGAACUGAGACAAGGUCCAGACUCCUACGGGAGGCAGCAGUGGGGAAUAUUGCACAAUGGGCGCAAGCCUGAUGCAGCCAUGCCGCGUGUAUGAAGAAGGCCUUCGGGUUGUAAAGUACUUUCAGCGGGGAGGAAGGGAGUAAAGUUAAUACCUUUACUCAUUGACGUUACCCGCAGAAGAAGCACCGGCUAACUCCGUG
This 490-nucleotide ribosomal RNA is filed under the name uncultured bacterium. Its description in RNAcentral is "partial 16S ribosomal RNA". It matches the Rfam family "Bacterial small subunit ribosomal RNA", at positions 30 to 507 of the family's 1533-position model. The record is from RNAcentral.